This 3089-nucleotide long non-coding RNA is filed under the name Sus scrofa (pig). RNAcentral's name for it is "lncRNA (ENSSSCG00035053543.1)". Lineage: Eukaryota; Metazoa; Chordata; Mammalia; Artiodactyla; Suidae. The record is from RNAcentral.
AGAUGAAAACUGGAGACAAAAUGCAUGAGACCAACAUUGUAGAGAAAGACUUUUUUCCAACUGAACUGAGUGUAAAUCCAGAUAUUUCUUGCAAGUGCAUCAACCAGUGGCCAAUCUGAAAUUUGGGCAAUGUUCCAUUGUGAAGAGUUUAUGUUUCAUGUCUUUGGUACCUUAAUUGGGCCUCCAGCCAGAAAUUUGUGACUGUAAUUUCCUCACUCUACUAUGGACUUCUCAAUGGUGGCUGCAUCUGUAAGACAGUGAAGCAGGAGGAAAGAGAGCAAGGAGGAAAGAAAAAGCAAAGGGUUUGGUCCACCUUCUUAGAAUCACAGCUGUAUCAAAUGGAGAGGAUGGUUCACCUCCCUCAGGAUUUCAGCUAUUAGGUGUCAUAGUUGCCACAGCCCUGCCAUCUUGAGAUUGCCUGAGGUCUGAGGCAUACCAGAAGAGAAUGGAGUAUUUUCAUAUUCUCCCUCUGUGUUAGGAGCUCAUUUUCCUACUCAAACCAGAGCUAGACUGCCUCUCCUGGAGCUCUCUCUGUCUCUGCCCUAAGGGAUGCUCAAUACAGGUUUCUAGGUAUGUUGUAUUCUGGGUACCGAUACUGCAGGUUGGAGGAGAUGUAAAUUCAACACUGGUUGAUUUGGUGGUAACUUGAAUUCUGGUGUUCUCAAUAUGAUUCCUUCUACUAGAUAGUUUUUCUUUUAUUUAUUUGCUUUUUAGGCCCACACCUGAGGCAUAUAUAAGUUCCCAAGCUAGGGGUGAAAUCAGAGCUACUGCUGCCAGCCUAUGCCACAGCCAUAGCAACUUGGAAUAUGAGCCACAUCUGCGAUCUACACCACAGCUCACGGCAAUACCAGAUUCCCGGCCAACUGGGUGAGGCCAGGGAUCGAACCUGCAUCCUCAUGGAUACUGGUCAGACUCAUUUCCACUGUACCACAAUGGUAGCUCCUACUAGAUAGUUUUUAGAGUCUUUAAGUAGCUGUUGGAUGCAUUCUGUCCAGAUUUGAUAUUUACAUUUAGUAGGGGAGACACUAUGUGGUGUGCUAAUUCCACUUACAUUGAACCAUAAUCACCCAUUUGUUGGGUGUUUGUUGAAUACUUUCUAUUCAUAGGCACUGACCUAGAUUCUGGUGGUACAAUGGCAAGCAAAAAGACAAGGCUCUGUCCCAGAUGAAGCUUACCAUUAAAUGACAAAAGAUUUUUAUUAAUCAUCCUUCCUUUUUUAACACAACUUUUUUUGCCUUUGGCCUUUUUCAAAUCAGUGCCCACCUCCCAAUAAGGUUUUUUGAUUGGUCUAUCCUCUUCUACUCAGAAAUACUCAUGGAUAUCUAAAUUUUAUAGUUGAGACCUAACCUGAGACUUCUAUUCUGUUCUGUAAGGUAUAUAAAUUUAUCAUCACGACCUAACAGAGAAAACUACCUUCUAAAAGACUUCAAAGACUUCAGAUGUCCGGUAGGAAAUAAGAGGCAUAGAAAUCAUUGCUCCCAUCUAUACAGGAAAAAAAAAAAGGCUGAAAAAACUAAAAAUCAACAUUAUCUCCUUAAAUCAAUCAGAGAAUCAGAGAGCUGUGGUUACAUGGAAAACAACUGCCCUCAUGGGAAUUCCUGUCAUGGCUCAGUGGUUAAUGAAUCUGACUAGGAACCAUAACAUUGCAAGUUCAGUCCUUAGCCUUGCUCAGUGGGUUAAGGAUCUGGCAUUGUCAUGAGCUGUGGUGUAGGUCACAGACGCUGCUCGGAUCCCACAUUGCUGUGGCUCUGGCAUAGGCUGGUGGCUACAACUCUGAUUAGACCCCUAGCCUGGGAACCUCCAUAUGCUGUGGUGCAGCCCUAGAAAAGACAAAAAACAAAAAACAAAAACAAAAACAAAACCCCAAAAAACACAACUGCCCUCAUGAAGAGAGAUACUGCUGGAUACAGAGACCACACUUACUGGAGCAGAAGACCAGGAAUAGGAAACUCCACAGGAUUCAGUACAGGUUCCUUUUACCCAGUAUAUCUUCUCUGGCUUUGUGUUCUGACACCAAUUGGGUGUCUUACAAUUCACUUCAACUCUGACACUAGCUAGUUGCAAGUCGCAUCAGAUUCCACAAAUUAAAGAGCAAGGUCCUCAAUAAGACUGCCUUUACUUCAGACGCCAGCCACCAGUGAGUUCUCCAGGCUACUCACACUUCUGCCUGGCUGACUACAAAUUGGAGCUUUCCCACAACCCCCUAGGGCUGCACCCAUGGCAUACGGAGGUUCCCAGACUAGGGGUUGAAUCAGAGCUGCAGCUGCCGACCUCUGCCACAGCCACAGCAAUGUCAAAUCCAAGCCACAUCUGUGACCUACACCACAGCUCAUGGCAACGUUGGAACCUUAACCCACUGAGCAAAGCCAAGGAUCAAAGCUGUGUCCUCAUGGAUACUAGUUGGAUUUGUUUCCACUGAGCCACAAUGGGAACUCUGGAUUUUUCACCAUAAGAAGAGAGAAACCCAGCAGUUGCUACAUUCUGCUGAAUGGCAUCUAUAAUUACCUUAACAUUCACAGCAGGACAAUGAUCAGAGAGUAAGCCAAUGCCUUCUGUGACUUGUAAGAACUGUGAAAAUAGGGAUUUUAAAAUUAGAGGUGGAAAGAAUUUUAAAGCUCUAUAAAGUUAAUAACUAUAAAGUUAAUAACUCCACUUCAAAAUAUAUCAAGCAAGAGUGAUGUCAGAGAAGACGGCAGAGUAGAAAGCUCCUGGAAUCUCUACCUCCACUUAAACAACUAUUGAACUGACAGAAACUCUCUAAAGUAAAUAAUUUGAUACUCUGGAGUCUAGGUGAAAAGUUGAUCUCAGUGAGCUUUAGCUUUCCUAUUCAGCAGUGGCUACCAUCUUCACACCUCAUUAUAGUAGGGAGCCAAGGGACUGCUGUCUGUGUUCUUAAUGUAGCUUUCUAGAGCCAAGGUUAGCAUUGAGGACAUGGUUCUCCAAAUAUUGAGGUUACGUGUUAUUUCUGAUUGCUACUUUCAUUGAUAAGUGCUCAAUAGCAUAUUUGAACAGGAAGCAGAAAGGAUCAGAAAAUCCAAAGAUAGGAUAGUUGAAAGUAUUUAGUAUAAGGAACAAAAAGGAAAAAAAAA